RNAcentral lists this ribosomal RNA (450 nucleotides) under uncultured bacterium. RNAcentral's name for it is "bacterial SSU rRNA". It matches the Rfam family "Bacterial small subunit ribosomal RNA", at positions 335 to 799 of the family's 1533-position model. The record is from RNAcentral.
ACUCCUACGGGAGGCAGCAGUGGGGAAUCUUGCGCAAUGGGCGAAAGCCUGACGCAGCCAUGCCGCGUGAAUGAUGAAGGUCUUAGGAUUGUAAAAUUCUUUCACCGGGGACGAUAAUGACGGUACCCGGAGAAGAAGCCCCGGCUAACUUCGUGCCAGCAGCCGCGGUAAUACGAAGGGGGCUAGCGUUGCUCGGAAUUACUGGGGCGUAAAGGGAGCGUAGGCGGACAUUUAAGUCAGGGGUGAAAUCCCGGGGCUCAACCUCGGAAUUGCCUUUGAUACUGGGGUGUCUUGAGUAUGAGAGAGGUGUGUGGAACUCCGAGUGUAGAGGUGAAAUUCGUAGAUAUUCGGAAGAACACCAGUGGCGAAGGCGACACACUGGCUCAUUACUGACGCUGAGGCUCGAAAGCGUGGGGAGCAAACAGGAUUAGAUACCCUGGUAGGAUAGCG